UACGGAGGGUGCGAGCGUUGUUCGGAAUUACUGGGCGUAAAGCGCGUGUAGGCGGCCUCCUCAGUCUGAUGUGAAAGCCCGGGGCUCACCCCCGGAAGUGCAUUGGAUACUGGGAGGCUGGAGUACCGGAGAGGAGGGUGGAAUUCCUGGUGUAGCGGUGAAAUGCGUAGAUAUCAGGAGGAACACCGGUGGCGAAGGCGGCCCUCUGGACCGAUAUUGACGCUGAGACGCGAAAGCGUGGGGAGCAAAC
RNAcentral lists this ribosomal RNA (250 nucleotides) under uncultured bacterium. RNAcentral's name for it is "partial 16S ribosomal RNA". It matches the Rfam family "Bacterial small subunit ribosomal RNA", at positions 524 to 773 of the family's 1533-position model. The record is from RNAcentral.